UACGGAGGGUGCAAGCGUUGUCCGGAAUCAUUGGGUGUAAAGGGUGUGCAGGCGGAAGUCUAAGUCGGAGGUGAAAUCUUGCCGCUUAACGGUAAAAGGGCCUUCGAAACUGGAUUUCUUGAGUACGGGAGAGGGUAGUGGAAUUCCCAGUGUAGAGGUGAAAUUCGUAGAUAUUGGGAAGAACACCGGUGGCGAAGGCGGCUACCUGGCCCGGAACUGACGCUGAUGGACGAAAGCGUAGGUAGCGAACAGG
RNAcentral lists this unclassified non-coding RNA (253 nucleotides) under uncultured Bacteroidota bacterium. RNAcentral's name for it is "uncultured Bacteroidetes bacterium contains 16S-23S intergenic spacer region". It matches the Rfam family "Bacterial small subunit ribosomal RNA", at positions 524 to 776 of the family's 1533-position model. Lineage: Bacteria; Pseudomonadati; Bacteroidota. The record is from RNAcentral.